GAAAUGCGAUAAGUAAUGUGAAUUGCAGAAUUCCGUGAAUCAUCGAAUCUUUGAACGCACAUUGCGCCCUCUGGUAUUCCGGGGGGCAUGCCUGUUCGAGCGUCAUUGCAACCCCCUCAAGCACGGCUUGUGAGUUGGGCCAUCGUCCCUUUACUGUGGACGGGCCUGAAAUGCAGUGGCAGCACCGAGUCCUGGUGUCUGAGUGUAUGGGAAUCUCUAUCGCUCAAAGACCCAAUCGGCGCUGAUGUCAGAUAUUUAUUAUCCAGUUUGACCUCGGAUCAGGUAGGAGUACCCGCUGAACUUAA
This 305-nucleotide unclassified non-coding RNA is filed under the name uncultured Onygenaceae. RNAcentral describes it as "sequence contains ITS1". The stretch from base 1 to 105 matches the Rfam family "5.8S ribosomal RNA", at positions 50 to 154 of the family's 154-position model. Lineage: Eukaryota; Fungi; Ascomycota; Eurotiomycetes; Onygenales. The record is from RNAcentral.